UGCACGUCCACAUUUUCCAAUCAAGUUUAUAAACAAGCUUUUUUGAAAUGAGGACUUCCAUCGCAAUAAUACGUACGAACUUCUUAAAACAACAAAACAAAAACCAUCAGGACAGAUCACAGGGUCGCAACAAAAAAUAAACAAGUCCGAAAAAAAUAAUAAAAAAAUAUUACCACACAUCUUUACAAGGAAUAAAUACUACAUUUAGAAAACCCAAAAUCUACGGUUCUCAAAACAAAAAAAAAAAUCAAAAUCAAAGCCAAGAAGCUACCUCCGCUAUGAACAUGCACCACCUCACUCUACAGUCACUGCAUAGCACACACUUAAACCCCACAAAACAAAAGGUUGUCUUACAAUAAACAAAUUCAACAGAAAGCGUACAAACAUAUAUCACAUAUGUUUAUAAAAACAAAAAAUCUGUGCAUAGAAAAUGAUGUCGAUCCAGAGGCUCCUAGGAUGCCUCCUAUUCGUCGUUUUUUUUUUGGCUCAACAACAAAUUUCAUUAUCCAAAUAUGUGAUUACAAAAUUUUAAACCCCACAUACAUCGACGUGAUCUAAUAUCACCCAGGAACACUUAGAAGGAUCCUACGCUAUCCGAAUCAAUACAACGAUGCAUUUUUCACCACGACGAGACAAAU
This 638-nucleotide long non-coding RNA is filed under the name Brassica napus (rape). RNAcentral's name for it is "long non-coding RNA (BNAP_LNC025722)". The record is from RNAcentral. Lineage: Eukaryota; Viridiplantae; Streptophyta; Magnoliopsida; Brassicales; Brassicaceae.